This 717-nucleotide long non-coding RNA is filed under the name Brassica napus (rape). RNAcentral's name for it is "long non-coding RNA (BNAP_LNC013657)". The record is from RNAcentral. Lineage: Eukaryota; Viridiplantae; Streptophyta; Magnoliopsida; Brassicales; Brassicaceae.
AUACGUAAGGCACCGAUACCCUGAGACUACAAGAGCGACUAGAAGUGGAAACCGUUGGGGGAAGAGGAGGGAAUAAUUCGGCGACUGGUGAAGCUUUAAGAGACUUUUCAAUGGCGGAAUAGAGAUCUCGCGAAACAGAGGGUUCGCUUGAUGCUUCUGAUUAACAUAAACCUAUCUUCGUCCACCGGAGAAGCAGAGAGGAGAAGGAGACGCCCACAGAAGAUGAGAACACGAGAGAAAAGAAAAAAAAUGAAACUUCAUAAUAUGCUGACACGUGGUCUAAAAACCCCUCUUCAAAGCGGUCCCCAAAAUCUCAUAUUAAGGAUCGGUUACUCAAAUAUUAAUGACUUUUGAUUUAGUUAAAUCAGUGAUUUUCUUUAGAAACCCUCUUAGAAACCUUGGAUAAUCAUGGUCUGAUUAUCCACAGAAACUCAUUUGUGUUUCUUAAGGAUUAUUUAAGUAUAUAAAUGUACUUUAGUGGACUUAAGAACAUUACUUAAGAAACUAUUCGAUUUUGUGCCUCCAAUGGUAGUUUCUUAGUUAAGGAUUCUUAAAAAGAAAAAAAAUCCUAACCACAACCUAACUCAAACAAGCAUAUUCAAACCAAGCAAACAAUCCUAACAUUUUGACAUUAAUCUAACAUAUUUAUUACCAAGGAAGAGUUGAAGAAGAGUAAAGUUUUGGUCGAUUACCUCAACUCUCAAACUCGGUGUAGUC